Molecule: RNA transcript, 4528 nt
Organism: Stegostoma tigrinum
Lineage: Eukaryota; Metazoa; Chordata; Chondrichthyes; Orectolobiformes; Stegostomatidae
Gene: rbm19
Gene name: RNA binding motif protein 19
Exons: 26
Source: RefSeq, a predicted model, not a curated record
AGGCAAUCGCGUGUUGGGCCCAGAAUCCCGGACUCGCGGCGAGUGUGACCGUUACAGGGAGCCCGUGGCCAAGGACGGGAGAGGGCGGGAGGGGUGACAGCGCUAGGACCCGGGGAGGGAAAGCGGGCUGCGAGAUGUCCCGGCUCAUUGUGAAGAACCUGCCGAGCGGGAUGAAGGAUGAACGUUUUAAGACGCUAUUUGGUGCUUUUGGAACAUUAACAGACUGCGCAUUGAAGUUCACAAAAGAUGGAAAAUUUCGAAAGUUUGGAUUUGUUGGCUUCAAAACAGAAGAGGAAGCACAAGUUGCUUUAAAACACUUCAAUAAGAGCUACAUAGACACUUCCAGAAUUAUUGUGGAGCUUUGUAAAUCAUUUGGGGAUCCAGGAUUGUCCAGACCAUGGAGCAAACACUCGCAGAAGAAUCCAACUGGGCAAAUUCCAGAAAAGACGAAACAACAAAAAUGCAAAAAUGAAGGAAAAAAGGAUAAACAGAAGAAUCCUGUCAUUGAAAACCUGGAGCAUUUGAAGGAAGAGGAUGAAUUUGAGGAAUUUCUGGCAGUACAUCAGAGCCGUCCCAGUGUACCAACCUGGACUAAUGAUACCUUACCUGCAAAGAAGAAGGAUGCUACACAGUUGGCUGAUUAUCUGAACUUUGAUUCAGAAGACUCUGAAGGUUCCGAAGAAUUGAGUGAGGAGCAGGAGGACACUAUUGAAGAAGCAAAAAGCAAACAAAAGCAAACACAGGAAAAUGUUGCUUUGAAAAAUGAAGUAUCUGACAUGGAUUACUUAAGGUCAAAAAUAGUGAAGAUUGAAGGCAAAUCUGAAACUGAUGAUGAAUCUGAAGCAGAUGAUGAAAAUAAUCUGAAAUCAUUCACUGAAGGAAGUAGACUAUUACAUACAGACAGCAAUUGUGAAAGUGGACAAAAAAGGCGGGAUAACAAACCAGCACAGAGGAAUAAAACAGAACUGGAGAAAAAAACUCACCAAAAUGAACCUACCACACCAUAUACUUUGAAGAUGCGAGGAGCUCCCUUCAGUGUGAAAGAGAAACAAAUAAGAGAAUUCUUUGUUCCAACGAAACCUGUGGCUGUCCGAAUUGUCAAAAAUGCAAAUGGAAACACAACAGGUUAUAUAUUUGUUGAUUUUGAGUCGGAAGGUGAUCUUGAAAAGGCUUUGCAAAGAAAUAAAGACUAUAUGGGUGGAAGAUAUAUUGAACUUUUUAGGGAGAGUUAUGCUCGAACAACUAAACCAGAUAGAAAAAAUAAUGACCAAAAAUGGCUAAAAAGAGAAAAGAAAGAUGAUGAGGAGGAAGAGGAUCUUUCUGACUCGGGACGAUUGUUUGUUCGAAACUUAUCUUAUAUGUGUACAGAAGAAGACUUAGAGAAAGUAUUUUCUAAAUAUGGACCGUUAGCGGAGAUUCAUUUUCCUAUAGACAGCCUAACGAAGAAACCAAAAGGCUUUGCUUUCAUUACGUACAUGAUGCCUGAACAUGCUGUGAAGGCCUUUGCUGAAUUAGAUGGGGAAGUGUUUCAGGGCAGAAUGAUGCACAUUUUACCAUCUACAGUAAAAAAGGAGACCACUCAAGACAGUGAAACAUCAGGCCUCUCUACUUACAAGAGAAAUAAAGCUGCUAAUGACAAGGCCAGCAGUAGCAGUUCACAUAACUGGAAUACUUUAUUUAUGGGAACUAAUGCUGUUGCUGAUGCAAUAGCAGCAAAAUAUAAUGCUACAAAAAGCCAAGUCCUGGAUCAUGAAGGAAAAGGCAGUGUUGCAGUCCGCAUGGCCCUGGGUGAGACACAGAUAGUACAAGAGACCAGGCAGUUCUUGAUAGAUAAUGGAGUUAGGUUGGACUCCUUCAGUCAGGGUGCUGGGAAGAGAAGUAAAACUGUUAUCCUUGUAAAGAAUAUUCCUGUUGGAACACAUGUGGAAGAAUUGGAGAAAGUAUUUAAGAAAUUUGGAGAUGUUGCACGUGUUUUACUUCCAUCAGCUGGUGUAACAGCCAUUGUGGAAUUUCUAGAACCUACAGAAGCAAAACAGGCAUUUACAAAGCUUGCAUAUUCCAAGUUCCAGCAUGUACCACUCUAUCUCGAGUGGGCUCCCAUGGAUGUGUUCUGUACCACAACCCCAGAGUCUAAGAAAUCUGAAAAGAAACAAAGUAGUGUAGAUGAGGACGACCAAGCAAAGGAUGAAAAUGAAGCAGAUAAUUUGAGUGAGGGUGACGAAGAGCACCUUCCGGGAUGUACUUUAUUUGUGAAAAAUUUAAAUUGUUUGACAACUGAAGAAACAUUGAUGAAGACAUUUGAAAAGUGUGGAUCAUUGAAAAGUUGCAGUAUAUCAAAGAAGAAAGACAAAACAGGUUCUCUUUUAUCAAUGGGGUAUGGUUUUGUGGAAUAUGCAAAAUCUGAGUCUGCCAACAAAGCACUAAAACUGCUGCAGCAUUGUAUGGUGGAUGGUCAUCAACUAGAGUUGAAGAUAUCAAACAGAGCUACAAUCACUGUGAAUCCAGCAAGGAAAUUCCAGAAAGCAAAAAAGCAAACGGUUUCCAAAAUCCUGAUUCGUAAUAUUCCGUUCCAGACAAAAGUGAAGGAAAUCCGUGAGCUUUUCAGUACCUUUGGAGAAAUAAAGACUGUGCGAUUACCUAAAAAAAUGGGUGGAACUGGUGCACACAGGGGCUUUGGAUUUGUAGACUUUCUCACAAAACAAGAUGCAAAGAAAGCCUUCAAUGCUCUUUGCCAUAGCACUCACUUGUAUGGUCGACGAUUAGUACUGGAAUGGGCAGACUCCGAAGAUACAGUGGAGACAUUACGCAGAAAGACAGCUGAACAUUACCAUGAUUCUCUGAAAAAGAAAAGACAGUCAGAGAUCCUGGAUGAAAUUAUGGAAGGAAAAGACUAGAUCAUUUUAUUUAAAAUACACUUAGACCUCGGUAAAAUUAAACCUGAAUGUGUAUGUAACUACUUGGCGACUAGUACAUGAGAAACAACAGGCCAAAUGUGUCUGUAGCUGUCUCAACUGGAGAUUGUUUUUGACCACUUCAAACAGGUAUCAGGCAAACUGUGAAAUGGUUACAGGCAGCUAUCAAAACUAAAGACCUAUAUGAACAAGAACCUGAGAGAAGAAAUAAGGCCUUGGUCCCAUCAGCAAGUUGGAAGAAGUCAAAUGACCGUGUGUUUUGAACUGAAAUGGCUGCAUUGUGAGGAUUCUUAACUGCAAACAGUACAACCUGCACAAACUCUGAUAGAUAUCAGUGCCUGUUUGCAGUCCAGUCAUAAAUCAUGAUGCAUGAAUGGCAUGCUCUACAACCUAUUGAGCAACGUUUGUGAAAAGUAGCAGUAGUGUAAUCGAUUUUUGAACUCCCAUCUCAAACACAUGAUGAAAAACCGUUGUGCCAACUGGUUAUGUAUUCAUGGAAUACUAAAUAAACUUUAUGAGGUAAUUUGAAGCCUGACACAUAGUGACUGGAAGAUGAAAACUAAUAGCUGAAGAAAUCUUCCAUGCACAUGAAUAUUGUGCAGUUGUAUUGAUCCUGCUAUUGGAGAGAGAGAGAAUACAGUAACUUCUCUACAUCAGUCAUAAGUAUGAGAAUGUGGAUAGUCAGUUCUUUAUUGUUGGUUUUCAAGAUUAGUAGCAAAGAGUUUUACUGAAUUUCUAUCUUUGAACUUAAAACAUGCAAUUUGAUAGCAAACUGUUCCUAAUGAACCAUUGCUUUUGGUAUGCUUAAGCUAGUAAAACGCUUCGUCCUGUGUUUAUGAAAUCUUCAUCAUAUCUAAUAGCAUUUUCUUAAAAGUUGGAUAUUUUUACAUAAUGCAAUAAAAGAUUCACACUGUAUAGUAUUACAUGUUGCAUUUAGUAGUGAAAUAUUUGGCACAUCAUGCAUUUAAACAUGUGGCAUGUUUGGGCGUAGCAGAAUGGAAAAUUUAGAUAGAUGAUGAGUAUAUCCUUGUGGCCCUGAUGUGAAUUUUGAAAAUGAGUUUCAUAUGGAAUAUCACAUUUUCCGUAAUAUGCUUUCUUGGAAAACAUAUUAUGGAAAAUGUAACAUUCCGUAUGAAACUCAUUUUUCUUGAAAAGCCUAAUUAUUUGGUGCUUAUGUAAGUCUCUGAAAACAUUGGUUUCAAGGGAUGUAGUACCACAGGCAUUAAGGAGCAAUUACACCUGUAUGUUGCAUGUGUGUACAUGCAUAAUGGGUGCUGAAAUCUGAGUUCAAGUUUGAAGUAUGUGUUUCCUUUAUUGCAUACAUGUGAAUGUGCAUAGCAACUCACUAAAAUUUCACGUCGAAGUGUUGAAAUUUUCCAGUCUUCCGCAGUUUAGCUUUAAAGCAGUAGCCAACUGAAUUGCCAAAGAUGAGCUUAAAAGUGGAUCUAUUGUCAUUUAAUAUUAUAGCACUUUAAGCAUUUUUGCCCCUCAGUUUAUGCCAAAUUUAUGUUACUAUUAGUGCUGUCUAUGCGCUGUUCCAUUUCCAGUACAUAAUCAUAUAUUAGGUAAUUUUUAUUGUCAAUGUACAGCCUAAUAUUGAAAUAGAGUCCAACAUA